GCCUUUGUGGUGUAGUAGUCAGCACGCUCGGUCCGUAUUCGAGAGGUCCGUGGUUCGACUCCCGGCGAGGGCA
Non-coding RNA from Stegodyphus mimosarum, 73 nucleotides. NCBI's taxonomy places the organism in Eukaryota, Metazoa, Arthropoda, Arachnida, Araneae, Eresidae. The record is from Rfam.